CAGUAGCCGCGGUAAUACGUAGGGUGCGAGCGUUAAUCGGAAUUACUGGGCGUAAAGCGUGCGCAUGCGGUUGUGUAAGACAGGUGUGAAAUCCCCGGGCUUAACCUGGGAACUGCGCUUGUGACUGCACAGCUAGAGUAUGGCAGAGGGGGGUGGAAUUCCACGUGUAGCAGUGAAAUGCGUAGAGAUGUGGAGGAACACCGAUGGCGAAGGCAGCCCCCUGGGCCAAUACUGACGCUCAUGCACGAAAGCGUGGGGAGCAAACAGGAUUAGAUACCCCGGUAGUCCCUGUCUCUUAUAC
Molecule: ribosomal RNA, 301 nt
Filed under: uncultured bacterium
Lineage: Bacteria
Description: partial 16S ribosomal RNA
Rfam family: Bacterial small subunit ribosomal RNA
Source: RNAcentral